Molecule: long non-coding RNA, 353 nt
Filed under: Brassica napus (rape)
Lineage: Eukaryota; Viridiplantae; Streptophyta; Magnoliopsida; Brassicales; Brassicaceae
Description: long non-coding RNA (BNAP_LNC005949)
Source: RNAcentral
AAAUUUUCCAGAUAUCUACAUCCGUCUCACCCCUACAUUUAUCUGUAUAUAUUUGUUUUUAUUUACAUUGUUUCGUAUUUAUUUAUGAAUGAUAAAUAAAAAAGUUUAGUUUGCUAACAUGUUACCUUGCAUAAGUAAUUUAAAUUCUUACAGCAGGGAUAAAUAUAAGCCGAGUAUUUAGUAUUUUCUAUAUUUGGUAUUCGACUUGAUUUGUAUGAGUAGUAAUGAGAUCCUGCAAAGAUCAGCACUCUAGAAUGAUGAAAUGGGGAUAAGCUUUGCUGUUGAAUGCCGUCAAGCCUCAAACACAAGGAUUGUGAAUCGGUUGGUCACACAAGAGCAGCGAGAAACUCUUG